This 255-nucleotide ribosomal RNA is filed under the name uncultured bacterium. RNAcentral describes it as "partial 16S ribosomal RNA". It matches the Rfam family "Bacterial small subunit ribosomal RNA", at positions 1245 to 1500 of the family's 1533-position model. The record is from RNAcentral.
AGAAACGAAACAGUGAUGUGGAGUAAAACUUAAAAAAGCGGUCCCAGUUCGAAUUGAAGGCUGAAAUUCGCCUUCAUGAAGUCGGAAUUGCUAGUAAUGGCAGGUCAGCAUACUGCCGUGAAUACGUUCCCGGGCCUUGUACACACCGCCCGUCACACCAUGAGAGUUGGAGAUACCCGAAGCCUGUGAGCUAACUUUUAGAGGCAGCAGUCGAAGGUAGAAUCAAUGAUUGGGGUGAAGUCGUAACAAGGUAGC